AUAUCAAGUUCUUUAUAUUGAGCUAUCGCUCUUUAUAUAGCUGAGAGAUGAAAACGACAAAUUCGUAACUGUUCUAUAGCCGGACUGUAUCUUACCAUUGCCCUGACUACGUGUUAUGAUUGGAUGAAGAUUGAAAGACAAUGAAAGCCAUUUCAAUGUUAUACGGCAUAUCGUACCGUAUUGCGAAGGCUUAGUUUCCGCUAAGUUGCAAACCUGUUCGGUUCUGUCUUCCCAUAAACCUGAAACAAGCAUGGCGGUUGUUUUAGUGGAUGUCAUCUUCUUUGUUGUCUUACUGGUCUUGGGGAUGAUGUGGCUGACCAUAAGUACAAGUGCUCAACGUACGUGCUAUUCAUUCCACCAUAUUACA
Molecule: long non-coding RNA, 367 nt
Filed under: Actinia tenebrosa (Australian red waratah sea anemone)
Lineage: Eukaryota; Metazoa; Cnidaria; Anthozoa; Actiniaria; Actiniidae
Description: uncharacterized LOC116293881, transcript variant X2
Source: RNAcentral